This is a long non-coding RNA of Megalobrama amblycephala (Wuchang bream), 343 nucleotides long. RefSeq lists it as uncharacterized. The transcript has 3 exons. Lineage: Eukaryota; Metazoa; Chordata; Actinopteri; Cypriniformes; Xenocyprididae. The record is from RefSeq and is a predicted model, not a curated record.
AAAUGGAUCUUUACAAAGUGUUCGUCAUGCAUGCGGCAUGUAUGCGUCGGAUUAUGAAUGAGCUCUGAGUCAAAAUGUCCGUUGCUCGUUAUCAACAUACAACUGAGAUCGACAAGCAGUUAAUCAGAUGUCACGGUGCAAGACUGCUCUCUACAUGCAUGAAGCUGUUGCUAAUACAGUCUGCUGUUGACUUCAAAGAGACUUCAUCAAUCCCUGUGGUCUCAUCUCCAUUCAUAAUCAGCACUACGCUUCUGUCACUCCCCUGCUGUUCUGGAAUGUCACAUGGUAUAUCUGAUACAUCAUAGAAUUAGUUUAACAUGAUACUCAAUAGGCACGAUACGCA